Molecule: long non-coding RNA, 508 nt
Filed under: Numida meleagris (helmeted guineafowl)
Lineage: Eukaryota; Metazoa; Chordata; Aves; Galliformes; Numididae
Description: lncRNA (ENSNMEG00000015710.1)
Source: RNAcentral
AAAAGCCCUCCAUUCUAUGGAGAUUGAUUGCAUUCACUGUAUCUCCUAGCCUCAAAAUAGAUUUAAUAAACAUCUGUAUCUAGUCAUGCAAAAUUAUCUUUUUUUUUGUAAGGCUUUGCCGAACAGUUUCUGAAAAAUUUGAAUUUAUGGCAUGAGAGAACAUGCUCUUCCCACCAGAAUGUGCAGAGCCUAUGAAAGCCUCGAGCUGAAGCUGGUGGGUACCUGACUUCUGCCUUGCACUGCUCUGCUGCUACAGGAGGACUGCAGCUUCCUAUCAACUAGAUAUGGGUGUGCAAAGAAAAUAGACUCAAUACGAACCAACUAAAAAUUACUGAAUACCACCAAGGCAGAAUUUUGCCCAUGAAACUAGCUUUGACAAUUGUAGUCUUCAGAGACUUUUUGGUUGUUCUUCGUUCUUCUGUGGGAAGAUGAAAAAGGAAAAUGGAAACUCCCAUUAACCACUUCAAAAGUGGCCAAGUAAGAAAAUCCAUUAACUAUUCUGACCUGU